GCUUACGGCCACACCACCCUGAGCACGCCCGCUCUCGUCUGAUCUCGGAAGCCAAGCAGGGUCGGGCCUGGUUAGUACUUGGAUGGGAGACCGCCCUGGGAAUACCAGGUGCUGUAAGCA
Paramisgurnus dabryanus is the source of this 120-nucleotide ribosomal RNA. Lineage: Eukaryota; Metazoa; Chordata; Actinopteri; Cypriniformes; Cobitidae. The record is from RefSeq and is a predicted model, not a curated record.